Molecule: ribosomal RNA, 446 nt
Filed under: uncultured Acidovorax sp.
Lineage: Bacteria; Pseudomonadati; Pseudomonadota; Betaproteobacteria; Burkholderiales; Comamonadaceae
Description: bacterial SSU rRNA
Rfam family: Bacterial small subunit ribosomal RNA
Source: RNAcentral
UGGAUGAUGUGGUUUAAUUCGAUGCAACGCGAAAACCUUACCACUUUGACAUGUACGGAAUCCUUUAGAGAUAGAGGAGUGCUCGAAAGAGAGCCGUAACACAGGUGCUGCAUGGCUGUCGUCAGCUCGUGUCGUGAGAUGUUGGGUUAAGUCCCGCAACGAGCGCAACCCUUGUCAUUAGUUGCUACAUUCAGUUGGGCACUCUAAUGAGACUGCCGGUGACAAACCGGAGGAAGGUGGGGAUGACGUCAAGUCCUCAUGGCCCUUAUAGGUGGGGCUACACACGUCAUACAAUGGAUGGUACAAAGGGUCGCCAACCCGCGAGGGGGAGCCAAUCCCAUAAAGCCAUUCGUAGUCCGGAUCGCAGUCUGCAACUCGACUGCGUGAAGUCGGAAUCGCUAGUAAUCGUGGAUCAGAAUGUCACGGUGAAUACGUUCCCGGGUCUU